GGAAGUAUAGCUCAAUGGUAGAGUGUUUGCCUGGCAAGCCUGAGACCCUGAGUUCAAUCUCUAGUACAGCCA
This 72-nucleotide transfer RNA is filed under the name Dipodomys ordii (Ord's kangaroo rat). It matches the Rfam family "tRNA". From Rfam's summary of the family: Transfer RNA (tRNA) molecules are approximately 80 nucleotides in length. Their secondary structure includes four short double-helical elements and three loops (D, anti-codon, and T loops). Further hydrogen bonds mediate the characteristic L-shaped molecular structure. tRNAs have two regions of fundamental functional importance: the anti-codon, which is responsible for specific mRNA codon recognition, and the 3' end, to which the tRNAs corresponding amino acid is attached (by aminoacyl-tRNA synthetases). tRNAs cope with the degeneracy of the genetic code in two manners: having more than one tRNA (with a specific anti-codon) for a particular amino acid; and 'wobble' base-pairing, i.e. permitting non-standard base-pairing at the 3rd anti-codon position. The record is from Rfam by way of RNAcentral. Lineage: Eukaryota; Metazoa; Chordata; Mammalia; Rodentia; Heteromyidae.